AUACUCAGGUGAUCGCUGUAUUUAUAAUACAGAGGAAAGUCCAUGCUCACACAAACUGUGAUGUUUGUAGUGUUCGUGCUUGACGAAAUCAUAAGUCAAGGUAACCUUUUCGGUUAACGGCAGGAGACAUCCUAAGUCACAUUGUGAUAUGGAUUUAUCCUUGAAAGUGCCACAGUGACGUAGCCGGUUUGGAAACAUCCGGGUGGAACGAGGUAAACCCCGCGAGUGAGCAACCCAAAUAAUGGUAGGGGCAUCUUCCAGUAGGGAAGCGAACCGAAAGAAGGACAAGUAUAUACUUGUAGAUAGAUGAUCACAUCCAUAUGUACGAGAUUGACCAUCGAUUGCAGUACAUUGGUACAGAACAUGGCUUAUCGAG
RNAcentral lists this RNase P RNA (376 nucleotides) under Virgibacillus halodenitrificans. RNAcentral's name for it is "RNase P RNA component class B". It matches the Rfam family "Bacterial RNase P class B". Rfam says of the family: Ribonuclease P (RNase P) is a ubiquitous endoribonuclease, found in archaea, bacteria and eukarya as well as chloroplasts and mitochondria. The record is from RNAcentral. Lineage: Bacteria; Bacillati; Bacillota; Bacilli; Caryophanales; Bacillaceae.